Molecule: non-coding RNA, 96 nt
Organism: Paramarasmius palmivorus
Lineage: Eukaryota; Fungi; Basidiomycota; Agaricomycetes; Agaricales; Marasmiaceae
Source: the annotation of a GenBank genome assembly
GCCCGCCUAGCUCAAUCGGAUAGAGCGUCAGACUCUUAGGUUUGUGACUGACAGGCGGGAAUCUGAAGGCUGCGAGUUCGACCCUCGCGGUGGGCU